GGACUGUUUUGCAAUUAACAGAAAGAUUUUGGAUAUCGAUGGUUGUCGCGCUCGGAUAGGGAUCCAUCUCAUCCCCUCUUCCUGUGACGUUUGAGCGAAGAGGGCACUGAGAGCAGCUUGGAGAUGGAUCCAGUGGCGGACGACGUCAGCUGGAGGAGCGAUUAGAAAUGAUGCCAAAGCAAUCCGAAUCAGGUUCUUUGUUGUUGAAAGACCCAAGACAUGCUCUGAUUCUUAUGACAUUCUUCCACCAAAAAAGCAUGCUGACUCGUUAGAGGAUGAUGCAAAUAAAGUAUGCCUACAUGAUUCAAGAUCAGUCCCAGUUUCUGCUGAAACUGUGGCCCUACUAGCAGAAUAUGGAUUGAGGUAUGGGAUGCAUUGAUUAAUUGCAACGGGAAAAACUUAAAGAGGCCAGUAUCAAAGAAAUGAACUGGAACUGGAGUUAAAUGAAAUUUUGAUACUUGAAGAACUGUUACUGGAAACAGUUAUACUUAAGAUUUAAGAAGCAUUACCCUGUGGAGCUCUGUUGAAUUCCACAAGGAUAAUAGUGUCCCAGAAGCAUACUAGAUACUCUGACAAACCCAGGAAAAUUGUGAGCAAGUAUUUACACAAAUACAAGAGAAGACGACCCUAACUGCAGUGGAGCAUGUAGCUAAGCUGAAAGGUUGCCAGAAGAGUUGGAAACAGUAACCUCAUAGUUCCAUAAUAGGAAAGGAAAACACAGACCAGCCAGAAAAUCAGAUCAUGGAGUUGCACAUAAAUAUUUUGAAAAACAACAGUAAGUACACGGGUCUUAUUUGGAGGAGCUUGUCCCAUCCAUACUUUGAUAGCUAUCAGCCCAGCACAAAUUUUGGUCAUUAGUUUUGUAAAUCUUCAAGAUGACUUUGUUUGAAUUCUUCCAGUGGUCCACAGCUUGCCUUGGCACAAAAUGUCAAACAAUUUGUCUGUUUUGGGGAAGGUUUCCUUUCCUCCACCUUAGAAGAAAGCUCCCAGAGCACAGAAAAAUGAGCCCGAAUAGAAUUGUGGUUGUUCAAAGUGCUUUUGAUGUGAACCUUGGGGAUGGAGAUAUUUUCUAUUGUCGCAACUGCAGGAGAUGUAGCAAAAGAUUGGGUCCACUGUGAAAAUUGAUGCUUCAAAAAGCAAUUAAAAAAAAAAAAAGAACAGCUGCUAAAGACUGGGUAUCUGAAAAUCUUAUGAAAGAAAUGAUUGCUGAUUUGGUUAUAAUUUUCUUUCAUUAGAUGUCUGAUUGUUCGAGAAUAUUCAUCUUGAUGCCGUUACAAUCAUCAUCAUCAUCAACCUUUGAUGUUGAAGCUUAAAUCUCUAAAUUUGGAAGGGAUGAAUCAAAAAGGCAAAUAAGGGUUAAUCUAGCACUUGUACUGGUGAACACUGAUCUAUGAGAGAAGUUUAAUAUUCAUUGGAAGUUCUAUGGUUCAUCAGCAAUGGCAAGAGAGAAUGGAUGCCCUCCCUUCUAAUGGUUCAAUGAAUUAUGAAAGCAUUGAUCAAAAGUAAACAAAGUUGCAAGAGAGAAUGGAUGUCCUCCCUUCUAAUGGUUCAAUGAAUUAUGAAAGCAUUGAUCAAAAGUAAACUCUGAGUUGUAUUUAAACUCUCUGAGUUGGAUAUUGUCUUGAGCCAUAAGUUGUGCCACAAUUUGGGAUCUGGUGACUAGCAAAGAAUAGGUUACUUAUUUUUGACAAGUUGCUCUAAAGGAAACUUUAAACGAACCAUUUAAGAAAAGUUGCUUUGCUUUGAAACAUGCUCAUAUGACUACAACAGUUGAAAUUAAUGCUGUCUGGCUCUCUUCUAAAGCUAUGAAACUUACUUUAAAUGAACAUUGACAUAGAGCUAAUAGUCUUUUUCUUUUCUUACACAGAGUAAUACUGCUUGGCCAUAAUCAGCAUGCAUUGUUCUUCAUGCCUGCAAGCACAGCAUGAUUGUUAGCAUUGCACUAACCCUUGGCAUUGGGCUUGGAUUGUUUUUGCACUUUUUGGACAUUUUUCUUCUCUUUCACAUUACACAGAGGAAUUAAACUUGUCCUGAUGUCUUGUCCACUUUUCUGAGUGCAGAAUAGACAAGCAAGAGAGCAAGAGAAAACGUUCAUACAAACAAGUGCUGAAGUUGCAGUACUCAGUUAAGUUAUUAACAGAGUCUAAACCCUGAUGCAUACUAAAUAUAAAGCUAAAGCUUCAGCUCUCCCCUAGUAAUACACACUCUGUCCAUUCAACUAGUAUGGAUGCUAUUGCUAGGUAUCAUUCAACUCAACUCACUGAGCAGAAGCUUUGAUCAAAUAUAUUUGGGUAAACUCUUCUUGGCAACACAUUUUAUUUAUUUCAUGCAUAUCUUCUCUGUAUCUUUGACUCAAACCACCAUUAGCAAUCUGUAUCUUAUGGUGUGCCAACACAGCUCAAUGAUUCCCGGAAACAACUAUGGCCUCAACUGCCUUUAGGUUGGCCUAACAUAUCGAAGAACAAUCUCGAAUCGGAUCUAACUCAGACUCUCUCAAUUAACCAAAGUAGUGAAAAUGAAUCCAAUACGCUGUCAUUCAUUUGCUGUAUUUUAUUGGUUCAUAUGCAUACUCUGCCGUGGUUAUUUUUUUUGAGAGCUUGAUAUAUACAUCUCCGGGAAGCCACUUACUUUAAUUGCUAUUAGUCCUCGAUCAUGUGCAGGAUUUAUACGUAUAAAUAAACAAAAGCCAUGAAAAAACUUUGAUUUUAUAUUUCUGCAUGCUUCUUAGUUGGCCAUAUUUAAUUAUGGAAUGAGGAGAGGCUUUGGUUUCUGGUGUGCCCUUCAAGUUCCAACUAAUGAAUUAAUCUUGAAAAUGAGAGCUGGAGUGAGUUGAAGGAAUUAAGACCGUGGAAGAUGUGAUGGAACAGGGUUUGCUGGCUUCAAUUAGUGCAUGGGGAUUCAGUAAUAAAGAAGAGUUAAGGCAGUAAUGUAAUGGAUGGAAAUAUUAAAUAUAGCAUGAUGUGAAUUGUC
Molecule: long non-coding RNA, 2970 nt
Organism: Zingiber officinale
Lineage: Eukaryota; Viridiplantae; Streptophyta; Magnoliopsida; Zingiberales; Zingiberaceae
Exons: 5
Source: RefSeq, a predicted model, not a curated record